Molecule: transfer RNA, 91 nt
Filed under: bacterium
Lineage: Bacteria
Also listed under: 2 other names
Description: tRNA-Ser
Rfam family: tRNA
About the family: Transfer RNA (tRNA) molecules are approximately 80 nucleotides in length.
Source: RNAcentral
GGAGAGAUGACCGAGUGGUCGAAGGUGCACGACUGGAAAUCGUGUGUAGGGUAACCCCCUACCGUGGGUUCGAAUCCCACUCUCUCCGCCA